RNAcentral lists this ribosomal RNA (260 nucleotides) under uncultured bacterium. RNAcentral describes it as "partial 16S ribosomal RNA". It matches the Rfam family "Bacterial small subunit ribosomal RNA", at positions 1244 to 1500 of the family's 1533-position model. The record is from RNAcentral.
AAGAAGCAAGACCGUGAGGUGGAGGCAAAACUCAAAAACUUAGUCUCAGUUCGGAUUGUAAGCUGAAACUCGCCUACAUGAAGCUGGAGUUGCUAGUAAUCGCGAAUCAGCAUGUCGCGGUGAAUACGUUCCCGGGCCUUGUACACACCGCCCGUCACACCAUGAGAGUUGGCAAUACCCAACGUACGUGAUCCAACCCGCAAGGGAGGAAGCGUCCUAAGGUAGGGUCAGCGAUUGGGGUGAAGUCGUAACAAGGUAUC